Molecule: long non-coding RNA, 605 nt
Filed under: Rattus norvegicus (Norway rat)
Lineage: Eukaryota; Metazoa; Chordata; Mammalia; Rodentia; Muridae
Description: long non-coding RNA NONRATT028481
Source: RNAcentral
CUCAAGCCUCUCUGGUCUGCUGUCCCCAGCGCUAACAGAAAGCCUGCUAAUUGCCUUGCCUCCCUGUCACCUCACCGGAGGUAAUGCCACAUUGAUGGUCCGGAGAGCCAAUGACAGCAAAGUGGUUAAGUCGGGCUUUGUGGUGCCUCCGUGCCGUGGGCGCAGGGAGCUUGUGAGCGUGGUGGACAGCGGGGCAGGCUUCACCGUCACAAGGCUCAGCGCAUAUCAGGUGACAAACCUCACACCAGGAACCAAAUACUAGAAGAAACAUGGAGUCUAUCAGGUUAGGAAUGGCCCGGACAGGAGGCAUGGUGGUCAUCACGGUGCUGCUGUCUGUGGCCAUGUUCCUGUUGGUCGUGGGACUUAUCAUUGCCCUGGCACUGGGUGCCCACAAAUGAAGGCUCUCCUGCAGCCCAGGCUCUUCCAAACAGGCAGCAGUUACCGGCUUCUCCUCCCUCUCCCUGCCCUCUUCACUGAGUCCAUUCCUGACAGUACCCCUCUCUCUGCUUCCAACACUCCCUGCCAGCCCCCCACCCCCCGAAGUCCCACCAAAGCUGAUUUUUCUCUUAACUGUACUUAAUUCUCACAAUAAAGGCUGACCCACG